RNAcentral lists this ribosomal RNA (119 nucleotides) under Sinocyclocheilus rhinocerous. The record is from RNAcentral. Lineage: Eukaryota; Metazoa; Chordata; Actinopteri; Cypriniformes; Cyprinidae.
GCUUACUGCCAUUCCACACUGUCUGCGCCGGAUCUAGUCUGAUCUCAGAAGCUAAGUAGGGUCGGGCCUGGUUAGUACUUGGAUGGGAGACCGCCUGGGAAUACCAGGUGCUGUAAACU